Molecule: ribosomal RNA, 496 nt
Filed under: uncultured bacterium
Lineage: Bacteria
Description: partial 16S ribosomal RNA
Rfam family: Bacterial small subunit ribosomal RNA
Source: RNAcentral
GAUGAACGCUGGCGGCGUGCCUAAUACAUGCAAGUCGAGCGAACAGACGAGGAGCUUGCUCCUUCGACGUUAGCGGCGGACGGGUGAGUAACACGUAGGUAACCUACCUAUAAGACUGGGAUAACUUCGGGAAACCGGAGCUAAUACCGGAUAAUAUUUCGAACCGCAUGGUUCGAUAGUGAAAGAUGGCUUUGCUAUCACUUAUAGAUGGACCUGCGCCGUAUUAGCUAGUUGGUAAGGUAACGGCUUACCAAGGCAACGAUACGUAGCCGACCUGAGAGGGGGAUCGGCCAAACUGGAACUGAGACCCGUGCCAGACCCCUAGGGGAGGCAGGAGUAGGGAAUUUUCCGCAAUGGGGGAAAGCCUGACGGAGCACCGCCGGGUGGGUGAAGAAGGCUUUCGGAUCGUAAAACUCUUUUAUUAGGAAAGACCAAACGUUUAAGUAACGGUCCACGUCUUGACGGUACCUAAGAAGAAACCCACGGCAACCUCCGU